RNAcentral lists this ribosomal RNA (460 nucleotides) under uncultured bacterium. RNAcentral's name for it is "partial 16S ribosomal RNA". It matches the Rfam family "Bacterial small subunit ribosomal RNA", at positions 338 to 795 of the family's 1533-position model. The record is from RNAcentral.
CCUACGGGUGGCAGCAGUGAGGAAUAUUGGUCAAUGGACGAGAGUCUGAACCAGCCAAGUAGCGUGAAGGAUGACUGCCCUAUGGGUUGUAAACUUCUUUUAUAUAGGAAUAAAACGUUGCACGUGUGCCUUUUUGUAUGUACUUUAUGAAUAAGGAUCGGCUAACUCCGUGCCAGCAGCCGCGGUAAUACGGAGGAUCCGAGCGUUAUCCGGAUUUAUUGGGUUUAAAGGGAGCGUAGAUGGGUUGUUAAGUCAGUUGUGAAAGUUUGCGGCUCAACCGUAAAAUUGCAAUUGAUACUGGCAGUCUUGAGUACAGUUGAGGUAGGCGGAAUUCGUGGUGUAGCGGUGAAAUGCUUAGAUAUCACGAAGAACCCCGAUUGCGAAGGCAGCUUACUAAACUGUGACUGACAUUGAUGCUCGAAAGUGUGGGUAUCAAACAGGAUUAGAUACCCUUGUAGUC